GGCCACGUGGCGAAGUGGAAACGCAGCGGUUUGCAAAACCGAUAUUGCGCGGGUUCGAUUCCCGCCGUGGCCUCCA
This 76-nucleotide transfer RNA is filed under the name Patescibacteria group bacterium. Its description in RNAcentral is "tRNA-Cys". It matches the Rfam family "tRNA". From Rfam's summary of the family: Transfer RNA (tRNA) molecules are approximately 80 nucleotides in length. RNAcentral also lists the same sequence under 1 other name. The record is from RNAcentral.